UACGUAGGGGGCGAGCGCUGUCCGGAUUUAUUGGGCGUAAAGAGCUCGUAGGCGGCUUGGCAAGUCGGGUGUGAAACCUCCAGGCUCAACCUGGAGACGCCACUCGAUACUGCUAUGGCUAGAGUCCGGUAGGGGACCACGGAGUUCCUGGUGUAGCGGUGAAAUGCGCAGAUAUCGAGAGGAACACCUGCGGCGAAGGCGGGUAGCUGGGCCGACACUGACGCUGAGGCGCGAAAGCCAGGGGAGCGAACGGG
RNAcentral lists this ribosomal RNA (254 nucleotides) under uncultured bacterium. Its description in RNAcentral is "partial 16S ribosomal RNA". It matches the Rfam family "Bacterial small subunit ribosomal RNA", at positions 524 to 776 of the family's 1533-position model. The record is from RNAcentral.